GGCGGAAUGAAUAAGUCAGUGGUGAAAUCUCUCAGCUUAACUGAGAAACUGCCAUUGAUACUGUCAAUCUUGAGUAUAUUUGAUGUGGGCGGAAUGUGUCAUGUAGCGGUGAAAUGCUUAGAUAUGACACAGAACACCGAUUGCGAAGGCAGCUCACAAAACUAUAACUGACGCUGAGGCACGAAAGCGUGGGUAUCAAACAGGAUUAGAUACCCUGGUAGUCCACGCUGUAAACUAUGAUUACUCGAUGUGUGCGAUACACUGUACGCGUCUAAGCGAAAGCGAUAAGUAAUCCACCUGGGGAGUACGCUCGCAGGAGUGAAACUCAAAGGAAUUGACGGGGGCCCGCACAAGCGGAGGAGUAUGUGGUUUAAUUCGAUGAUACGCGAGGAACCUUACCUGGGCUUGAAAGUUAGUGACCGACUGUGAAAGCAGUUUUUCCGCAAGGACACGAAACUAGGUGCUGCAUGGCUGUCGUCAGCUCGUGCCGUGAGGUGUUGGGUUAAGUCCCGCAACGAGCGCAACCCCUAUCAUUAGUUGCCAGCACGUAAUGGUGGGAACUCUAGUGAAACUGCCCGCGCAAGCGGUGAGGAAGGUGGGGAUGACGUCAAGUCAGCACGGCCCUUACGUCCAGGGCUACACACGUACUACAAUGGCAAGUACAAAGGGUUGCUACAUGGUGACAUGAUGCUAAUCUCUAAAGCUUGUCCCAGUUCGGAUUGGAGUCUGCAACUCGACUCCAUGAAGCUGGAUUCGCUAGUAAUCGAAAAUCAGCAAUGCUUCGGUGAAUACGUUCCCGGGCCUUGUACACACCGCCCGUCAAACAAUGGAAGUUGAGAGUAUCUAAAGUCGAUAACCGCAAGGAGUCGCC
RNAcentral lists this ribosomal RNA (871 nucleotides) under uncultured Bacteroidota bacterium. RNAcentral's name for it is "bacterial SSU rRNA". It matches the Rfam family "Bacterial small subunit ribosomal RNA", at positions 574 to 1457 of the family's 1533-position model. Lineage: Bacteria; Pseudomonadati; Bacteroidota. The record is from RNAcentral.